GCUAGCAUAGGAUAGUGGUUUGAGCUUUGGACUAUGAUUCUGGAGGCCAGAGUUCAAAUCCCUGCUUGAGUA
Phrynosoma platyrhinos (Desert horned lizard) is the source of this 72-nucleotide non-coding RNA. Lineage: Eukaryota; Metazoa; Chordata; Lepidosauria; Squamata; Phrynosomatidae. The record is from the annotation of a GenBank genome assembly.